GACGAACGCUGGCGGCGUGCUUAACACAUGCAAGUCGAACGGAAAGGCCCUGCUUUUGUGGGGUGCUCGAGUGGCGAACGGGUGAGUAACACGUGAGUAACCUGUCCUUGACUGUGGGAUAUCUUCAGGAAACUGGGGCUAAAACCGGAUAGGAGCUCCUGCUGCAUGGUGGGGGUUGGAAAGUUUCGGCGGUUGUGGAUCGACUCGCGGCUUAUCAGCUGGUUGGUGGGGUAGUGGCGUACAAAGGCUUUGACGGAUAGCCUGCCUGAGAGCGUGACCGGCCACAUUGGGCCUGAGAUACGGCCCAGACUCCUACGGGCGGCAGCGGUCGGGAAUAUUGCACAACGGGGGGACGCCUGAUGCGGAAGCGCCGCGUGCGGGAUGCCGGCCUUCGGGUUGUAAACCGCUUUCGCCUGUGACGAAGCGUGAGUGACGGUAAUGGGUAAAGAAGCACCGGCUAACUACGUG
Molecule: ribosomal RNA, 468 nt
Filed under: uncultured bacterium
Lineage: Bacteria
Description: partial 16S ribosomal RNA
Rfam family: Bacterial small subunit ribosomal RNA
Source: RNAcentral